AUGAACGCUGGCGGCGUGCCUAAUACAUGCAAGUCGAGCGGAAUGAUGAAGAAGCUUGCUUCUUCUGAUUUUAGCGGCGGACGGGUGAGUAACACGUGGGCAACCUACCUUGUAGAUUGGGAUAACUCCGGGAAACCGGGGCUAAUACCGAAUAAUCCAUUUUGCUUCAUGGCGAGAUGUUGAAAGACGGUUUCGGCUGUCACUAUAAGAUGGGCCCGCGGCGCAUUAGCUAGUUGGUAGGGUAAUGGCCUACCAAGGCGACGAUGCGUAGCCGACCUGAGAGGGUGAUCGGCCACACUGGGACUGAGACACGGCCCAGACUCCUACGGGAGGCAGCAGUAGGGAAUCUUCCACAAUGGACGAAAGUCUGAUGGAGCAACGCCGCGUGAGUGAAGAAGGUUUUCGGAUCGUAAAACUCUGUUGUAAGGGAAGAACACGUACGAGAGUAACUGCUCGUACCUUGACGGUACCUUAUUAGAAAGCCACGGCUAACUACGUG
RNAcentral lists this ribosomal RNA (499 nucleotides) under uncultured bacterium. RNAcentral's name for it is "bacterial SSU rRNA". It matches the Rfam family "Bacterial small subunit ribosomal RNA", at positions 29 to 507 of the family's 1533-position model. The record is from RNAcentral.